This 65-nucleotide transfer RNA is filed under the name Cryptocephalus celtibericus. Its description in RNAcentral is "tRNA-His". The record is from RNAcentral. Lineage: Eukaryota; Metazoa; Arthropoda; Insecta; Coleoptera; Chrysomelidae.
AUCUAAAUAGUUUAUAAAAAAAAUAUUAACUUGUGGCGUUAAUGAAGCAUAGUUUGUUUUAGAUA